AAUGGACGCAAGUCUGAGGGAGCGACGCCGCGUGCUAGAAGAAGCUCUUCGGAGUGUAAAUAGCUUUUCUGUGGGAAAAACUACGAUGGUACCACAGGAAUAAGGGGCUGCUAACUUCGUGCCAGCAGCAGCGGUAAUACGAAGGCCCCAAGUGUUAUCCGGAUUUAUUGGGCGUAAAGAGCUAAAAGGUGGUUUGGUAAGUCGGCUGUUAAAGCCCGGAGCUCAACUCCGGAUCUGCAACCGAAACUGCUAGACUAGAGGGCGGAAAAGGUAAGUGGAAUUGCUGGUGUAGCAGUAAAAUGCGUUAAUAUCAGCAGGAACAUCAAUAGCGAAGGCAGCUUACUGAGACGCUCCUGACACUAAAUAGCGAAAGCGUAGGUAGCGAAUGGGAUU
This 393-nucleotide ribosomal RNA is filed under the name uncultured Gammaproteobacteria bacterium. RNAcentral describes it as "bacterial SSU rRNA". It matches the Rfam family "Bacterial small subunit ribosomal RNA", at positions 370 to 779 of the family's 1533-position model. Lineage: Bacteria; Pseudomonadati; Pseudomonadota; Gammaproteobacteria. The record is from RNAcentral.